RNAcentral lists this transfer RNA (73 nucleotides) under Stegodyphus mimosarum. It matches the Rfam family "tRNA". From Rfam's summary of the family: Transfer RNA (tRNA) molecules are approximately 80 nucleotides in length. Lineage: Eukaryota; Metazoa; Arthropoda; Arachnida; Araneae; Eresidae. The record is from Rfam by way of RNAcentral.
GCCUUCGUGGUGUAGUGGUUAGCACGCUCGACGCGUAACCGAGAGGUCCGUGGUUCGAUUCCUAACAAAGGCU